RNAcentral lists this long non-coding RNA (970 nucleotides) under Monodelphis domestica (gray short-tailed opossum). Its description in RNAcentral is "lncRNA (ENSMODG00000050173.1)". The record is from RNAcentral. Lineage: Eukaryota; Metazoa; Chordata; Mammalia; Didelphimorphia; Didelphidae.
CUUUGAAGUCAUGGAUCUGACUCUUCCAGUAACUCCAAGGCUGCUCAUUGACUCUUUCCAAUCAGUGAUGGAAUUCUGUCAAAAAUUCUAGUACCUUGACUUGGCCACAGGUGGAAUUCCGAGAGAUAAUGUCUUGCAGACAUUCAAGUGGUCUCUGGGGAUGAAGUGAAAAAACGAGCGCAUGGACUCUGAGGUUGUGGGAGUAGCAGGCUGAAAGAUCCUGUUGUGGGUGUGGGGGAGACAAAGCUUAUUAAAGCUUACACCCUUGAAUCAUGCCUGACUCCGCUAUUCCCCUUUGGAUCAAGCUCCCUCUAACAAGUGUGGAGCAUCCUAUCUGCAGGAGCUCAGAGUCCAGAUUCCGGAUCUCCUCUCUACCCUUUGAAACAUGGCGGAGGUCUAGAAGGACAUCACCGGUGUCCCAGGCAAAGCGUUUUGGUCAGCAAGUCUGGAUUUGAGGAUGGGAUCCCCCACUUACUAGACAUUGGGCAAGCUCAUUCCCUUUACAUGGCGGAGCCAGAGCCAAUGCAGCAGCCCAGAGGUGCCGGAAUGUCUUUCAUCCCUGGGAAGAUAGAGAAGGAGCAUUUUGCCCUUUGCUGAGUGCAAGGACAGAGCUGAGUCAUCUCCGAUUUUCCAUCCCCUUCACACUUGAUUUUUCAUGGGAAUCAUAAGGUGGCUGAAAGAAUUCUUCUUGGAACCCAUAGCUUUUCAUCUCUACUGCUGGGAAAGAGAAGGAAAAAAGGAAAUGCAGGCUUUGGGUUUGAGGCACCAGGAGGGACCGAGAGAAUGCCUUGCCCAUAGUUCUUGCCCAGAAGGACUGUAUGGGCUUCCUAGGGAGACAAACAUCAGCUGUAAAAUGAUCAGGAAACAUAAACAAGACAAUAAUGGCAAUAAAAGAGCUGAUCUUCUAUAGACCAGGCUUCUUAUUUUGUGUGUGUCCUACUCUCCUUCAUUGUUCUGGUGAAGCCUAUGG